GUCAACACCGGUUUCGUAUUUUCACGUGAAAUCGGCCGAAAACUGAGAGGUUAUCAACAAAUUAUAAGUUUACGGGUACCAUGAGGAAUUUUCAUGCAUUUGAACGACAGAAGUACAAGCGAACAGAUGACACAUUAAAGUGGCUGCAGAAACUUGAAAAGUUAGAUAGAGCAGGGACAGUCAAAACUGUGGGAUAAUACUUCUAUGGUGUCCAACAUGUCUAGUCAAGUUGACAGAAGUGAAAGAUGGUCUGAUGGUACAAUGAUGUACAAAUGAUACUCUUAAAAAGUGAAAGAUGGUCUGAUGGUACAAUGAUGUACAAAUGAUACUCUUUAACAAGUUUAACAUGUCAAAGUGUAAAAUGUUCUGUGGAUUCAUAUGAUGAGUCUGUAUGACUUAAUUAAACACACAUAUUGAUACCUUCAGAUAUAUACCUGUGAAAUCUUCAGUGUCACCGUUCGGCUAUUGUUCAAGAUCAGUGUCUGCAGCUUGCACAGUUUAGUAUAGAGGAGCCUUCUGAAUCAAUUUUGUUACAUAUUUGCUGUUAUUGUAGGACGCAUAUGUAGAGAGCAACAAGUCCUGUCCAACUGUGCAGGUAAAUGUGAUUCAGAAACUUUGAGAAUAUGUAAACAUUACACUGUUAUAAUUUUCAAAAUACUGUGUCUUGUAGUGUAUCAGUACUGUUUUGUCUCAGUUUAUAGCACAGUAUGUUCACAAA
Long non-coding RNA from Mercenaria mercenaria, 718 nucleotides. RefSeq lists it as uncharacterized. The record is from RefSeq and is a predicted model, not a curated record. NCBI's taxonomy places the organism in Eukaryota, Metazoa, Mollusca, Bivalvia, Venerida, Veneridae. The transcript has 5 exons.